GACGAACGCUGGCGGCGUGCCUAAUACAUGCAAGUCGAACGCUUCUUUCCUCCCGAGUGCUUGCACUCAAUUGGAAAGAGGAGUGGCGGACGGGUGAGUAACACGUGGGUAACCUACCCAUCAGAGGGGGAUAACACUUGGAAACAGGUGCUAAUACCGCAUAACAGUUUAUGCCGCAUGGCAUAAGAGUGAAAGGCGCUUUCGGGUGUCGCUGAUGGAUGGACCCGCGGUGCAUUAGCUAGUUGGUGAGGUAACGGCUCACCAAGGCCACGAUGCAUAUCCGACCUGCGAGGGUGAUCGGCCACACUGGGACUGAGACACGGCCCAGACUCCUACGGGAGGCAGCAGUAGGGAAUCUUCGGCAAUGGACGGAAGUCUGACCGAGCAACGCCGCGUGAGUGAAGAAGGUUUUCGGAUCGUAAAACUCUGUUGUUAGAGAAGAACAAGGACGUUAGUAACUGAACGUCCCCUGACGGUAUCUAACCAGAAAGCCACGGCUAACUACGUGCCAGCAGCCGCAGUAA
RNAcentral lists this ribosomal RNA (524 nucleotides) under uncultured bacterium. RNAcentral's name for it is "partial 16S ribosomal RNA". It matches the Rfam family "Bacterial small subunit ribosomal RNA", at positions 28 to 523 of the family's 1533-position model. The record is from RNAcentral.